RNAcentral lists this ribosomal RNA (433 nucleotides) under uncultured bacterium. RNAcentral describes it as "partial 16S ribosomal RNA". It matches the Rfam family "Bacterial small subunit ribosomal RNA", at positions 29 to 507 of the family's 1533-position model. The record is from RNAcentral.
AACGAACGCUGGCGGCAUGCCUAACACAUGCAAGUCGAACGAGACCUUCGGGUCUAGUGGCGCACGGGUGCGUAACGCGUGGGAACCUGCCCUUAGGUUCGGAAUAACUCCCCGAAAGGGGUGCUAAUACCGGAUAAUGUCUUCGGACCAAAGAUUUAUCGCCUUUGGAUGGGCCCGCGUUGGAUUAGCUAGUUGGUAGGGUAAAAGCCUACCAAGGCGACGAUCCAUAGCUGGUCUGAGAGGAUGGUCAGCCACACUGGGACUGAGACACGGCCCAGACUCCUACGGGAGGGAGCAGUGGGGAAUAUUGGACAAUGGGCGAAAGCCUGAUCCAGCAAUGCCGCGUGAGUGAUGAAGGCCUUAGGGUUGUAAAGCUCUUUUACCCGGGAUGAUAAUGACAGUACCGGGAGAAUAAGCUCCGGCUAACUCCGUG